This 269-nucleotide ribosomal RNA is filed under the name uncultured bacterium. RNAcentral describes it as "partial 16S ribosomal RNA". It matches the Rfam family "Bacterial small subunit ribosomal RNA", at positions 84 to 354 of the family's 1533-position model. The record is from RNAcentral.
UUGGUAUCUUAGUGGCGGACGGGUGAGUAACGCGUGGGUAACCUGCCUUACACUGGGGGAUAACACUUAGAAAUAGGUGCUAAUACCGCAUAACAGGAGAAGAUGCAUGUCUUUUCCUUAAAAACUCCGGUGGUGUAAGAUGGACCCGCGUCUGAUUAGCUUGUUGGCGGGGUAACGGCCCACCAAGGCAACGAUCAGUAGCCGGCCUGAGAGGGUGAACGGCCACAUUGGGACUGAGACACGGCCCAAACUCCUACGGGAGGCAGCAG